This is a long non-coding RNA of Macrobrachium nipponense, 955 nucleotides long. RefSeq lists it as uncharacterized. NCBI's taxonomy places the organism in Eukaryota, Metazoa, Arthropoda, Malacostraca, Decapoda, Palaemonidae. The transcript has 4 exons. The record is from RefSeq and is a predicted model, not a curated record.
GCCCUUGCAGCAGCUAUUAUAAAUAGGAUCUUUUUAGGCAACAAGUACACACGGUCUCCAACAGUGAACAAAUCACGAUCAGACUAGCAGCUUUUUUUGCUCUCUGACUUUGGCUGAAUUUAGUUGUUUCAGAAGAAAGAUGUUAAGACUCUUCUUUCAGUUACUCCUGAUCGCUGUGCUGGGCAUUUGCUGUGCCCAUGGGCGCGAAGUUGAAGCUCCUUCGAAGAACGACUUUAAGGGGAAUGCCCUUGAGGAGAAUGUCCCUAAAGAAGACAGGUACUAUAACUACGGUUACUGCUGGCCAGUUGGUUACUGGUACAGCGUAUACGGCAUGUAUGAUUGGUGCAACUAUGUAUGCUUCUACAAUCCUCCAUACUGCCCCUACUACUAUUGCAGAUGCUACUAUUACUAUUAAUAGCACGUCUGCUCCGGACUUCGCUUUUGCAGUUUGAAAGUAAACUUCAAGAAGACUCAGAGAGACUGUGGAAAAUGCUCAGACUUGACUUCAUACUUUCAAAGAGACAUUACCACGUUACCAAAGCCUAAAAUAAUCAUAGCAUCCAUCAGGAUUUUUUUUUUUUUUUUUUUGCGAAAAAAAUAGAGGUCUGUAAUGGAAAAUUUCAAGAGCAACAAGUAAAAUUACUAAUCAACACGAACAGGAAAUAAUGUUUGUCAGAAUUUUGAACUCUGGAACUUACAAGUAACCAAAUACUUAUAGUUUGGUAUUUAAAUCUAAAUACAUAACACCUGUAAGAUCUUAUGAAGCUAUUCUUACGUUAAAUUGACUGAGAUGUUAUGAUUAUAUUUUGGAUGUAAUUCUUAGUGAAAAAAUUAUUCUCAAAUUUAGGAGUUUUGGAGUUUGUCUUAUAUUGAUUCAUAAUGUUUGAGAAACUGCUUAUCAUUAACUGUACAAUACCUGUUCAUUUUGAAUAAAUAAAGAUGGAAUGAAGCACAA